Molecule: ribosomal RNA, 669 nt
Filed under: uncultured marine eukaryote
Lineage: Eukaryota
Description: SSU rRNA
Rfam family: Eukaryotic small subunit ribosomal RNA
Source: RNAcentral
AGUUAAAAAGCUCGUAGUUGGAUUUCGGAGUGGGCCAGUUGGUCCGCCGCAAGGUGUGUUACUGACUGGUUUGCUCUUCUUCGCAAAGACUGCGUGUGCUCUUGAGUGAGUGUGCGUAGGAUUUACGACGUUUACUUUGAAAAAAUUAGAGUGUUCAAAGCAGGCUAUUGCUUGAAUACAUGAGCAUGGAAUAAUGGAAUAGGACUUUGGUCCCAUUUUGUUGGUUUCUAGGGCCGAAGUAAUGAUUAAGAGGGACAAUUGGGGGCAUCCGUAUUUCGUUGUCAGAGGUGAAAUUCUUGGAUUUACGAAAGACGAACAACUGCGAAAGCACUUGCCAAGAGUGUUUUCAUUAAUCAAGAACGAAAGUUAGAGGAUCGAAGACGAUCAGAUACCGUCCUAGUUCUAACCAUAAACGAUGUCGACUAGGGAUCAGCGGGCGUUAUCGUACGACCCCGUUGGCACCUUACGGGAAACCAAAGUUUUUGGAUUCCGGGGGAAGUAUGGUUGCAAAGCUGAAACUUAAAGGAAUUGACGGAAGGGCACCACCAGGAGUGGAGCCUGUGGCUCAAUUUGACUCAACACGGGAAAACUUACCAGGUCCAGACAUAGUAAGGAUUGACAGGUUGAGAGCCCUUUCUUGAUUCUAUGGGGUGGUGGUGCAUGGGCCGU